CUUAGCUAACGCUAAGUACUAUAUGCUGAAUACAUAGGCAUAUAGAGGUACACCUGGGGAACUGAAACAUCUAAGUACCCAGAGGAAGAGAAAGAAAAUUCGAUUCCCUAAGUAGCGGCGAGCGAAAGGGGAAGAGCCCAAACCAGAAACUUCGUUUCUGGGGUUGUGGAUAGAUCAUAACGCUUUGAUUUUCUUAGCCGAAUAGAACUGGAAAGUUCAGUCGUAGAAGGUAAUAACCCUGUAGGCGAAAAGAAAAGAUAAGUAGAUCUACUCCAGAGUACCACGAGACACGUGAAACCUUGUGGGAAGCAGGGAGGACCAUCUCCCAAGGCUAAAUACUACCUAGUGACCGAUAGCGAAGCAGUACCGUGAGGGAAAGGUGAAAAGAACCCCGGGAGGGGAGUGAAAUAGAACCUGAAACCGUGUGCCUACAAUCGGUGGGAGCACUUUUAUGUGUGACCGCGUACUUUUUGUAGAACGGGCCAGCGAGUUACGAUAUGCAGCAAGGUUAAGCAC
RNAcentral lists this non-coding RNA (516 nucleotides) under Clostridium colicanis DSM 13634. RNAcentral's name for it is "Bacterial large subunit ribosomal RNA". It matches the Rfam family "Bacterial large subunit ribosomal RNA", at positions 131 to 653 of the family's 2925-position model. The record is from Rfam by way of RNAcentral. Lineage: Bacteria; Bacillati; Bacillota; Clostridia; Eubacteriales; Clostridiaceae.